UACGGAGGGUGCGAGCGUUGUCCGGAAUCAUUGGGCGUAAAGGGCGCGUAGGUGGCGGGACAAGCGUGCGGUGAAAGCUCGGGGCUCAACCCCGAGUCGGCCGUGCGAACUGUUUUGCUUGAGCACUGUAGAGGCAGGCGGAAUUCCGGGUGUAGCGGUGGAAUGCGUAGAGAUCCGGAAGAACACCGGUGGCGAAGGCGGCCUGCUGGGCAGUAGCUGACACUGAGGCGCGACAGCGUGGGGAGCGAACGAGG
This 254-nucleotide ribosomal RNA is filed under the name uncultured bacterium. RNAcentral describes it as "partial 16S ribosomal RNA". It matches the Rfam family "Bacterial small subunit ribosomal RNA", at positions 524 to 777 of the family's 1533-position model. The record is from RNAcentral.